GGAGUGCUUCGUUGGAAGUUUUUGGACGUAAGAACACGGAGAUCGACAAGUUCAAAGUUUGGCCGGAGCUUUCGAGGCGUUUUCCGGCGAAUCCUCGGCGAGUUAGGAGUCGAGGUAGGUAUCAAUCUCUUCGUCUCGUCAAGUACUACAACUUUCCUUUUUUUUUCACUCAAUUUCGUUGAGUAUUGAAGAAGUUAUACUCAUUUGAAAAAUACCCAGUUUCCGGCGACCUCCGAGGCUUUCGAGGCAGUUUCCGGCCAAACCACGGCGAACUAGGUGUUGUUCAAGGUACCAUUCUCUUUGUCUCUGCAAGGGCUACAACUUUCGUUUUUGAAUUACUUGAUUUCGUUGAGAAAUGACAAAGUUAUGGCAAUUUAAAAAACUGCCCGGAAAACGGCCGCCGGAAAAACCAGUCCGGCGACCCAAGGAAGAAGAAGGUGCUACAGUAAAAAUAAAAAAUAAAAUUAUUUUAAAAAUAUGUCGACGUCCGUGACGUCGAGUAGAUCACUGUGGUAUAUUCAUAUACCUAAAUUGAACACCGUAUGAGAAAGUUUUGAGGAUUGUUGGUUAGGUGUUCAAAUAACGUUUUAUAAUUUUCACAUUUAGGUGAAAAUGUGAAUUGAUGAUCCGACCGUUGGAUCGUCACCAAACUUUGAUACGUUGUAAUACGUAAUAUUUGAGGAUUAUUGGAACUUACGGAUUGGGAAUCCGAGUUACGGAUCUUCCGGAAUUGGAAUUGUAAGUCCAUAAUAUAAAAUGUUAACCGUCACUUAGUUUUGGAAAUUGACGGAGAUCCGACCGUUGGAUGGUAAUGAAAUUUUAGGAUGUUGUCCUAGAGGUAUAAUGUGGACCUCUGGAAGUUAUGGAUUUAAAAAAUCUGAGUGGCAGAUCUUCCGGAUCGAUCAACGUAGUGACGUAUUUUUAUAUAAGUUAUGUAUUCUAUCGAUAUGAAUUCUGAGCCUGGAUUUGAUUACUAUUCUAGGCGGCGAUCGUCAUGACGCCUUGAUGUGUGGUGCUAGGGAGUUGUUGGACGAACUCCAGGUGAGUGGGCAGUUUUGUUUUCCGUAUAUAUAUAUACUUGACGUUUCCCAGAAAUUGAAUUGAAAUGAAAAUAUGUUUAAAAUGAAAUGCAUAUGAGUUAUGUGGAAAAACGGGAAGUGAAAUACCAUGCAUAGAAUUGAUAUGAAAAGUAUAUAGAAAUGUGAGUUGAAAUGCCAUGCAUGAAUUAAUAUAUAUGAUGCAUAUGUAUGAAUUGGUGCGGUGGACGCACAUGUAAGAAUUGAUUUAUGAUGCAUAUGUAUGAAUUGGUGCGGUGGACGCACAUGUAAGAAUUGAUUUAUGAUGCAUAUGUAUGAAUUGGUGCGGUGGACGCACAGGUAAGAAUUGAUUUAUGAUGCAUAUGUAUGAAAUGGUGCGGUGGACGCACAGAUGAGUAUUUAAUUACUGUUAUGAUGAUGAUGAUAUAUAUUGAGCUCAAAUCCUGCACCAUGGUUUAGUGCUUAUAGUAUUCACCGCAUCGCACGCUCGCCUUGGAUCCAAGUAGAUGCUAGUCGUACAGUCCACGCGGAGUGGGUACGACAGACCAGUCGCGAGAGUGUUAGUGAGAUUCCGACUGGUGGGUGACCUUAGAUUAUGUGCACAGAUGAUUUAUGAGAAGCACUACUAGAGCGUAACUUGCGUGCAGAAGGCCGGACGGGUCACAGAGGUGACUCCGGUAGAGUGAUAAUGAUAGAUUUUUGAGCUCUAGGUUCAACCGUACAGGGCUAUUAGAGGGCCUACGGUUGAUUACUUUCUUGCACCUGAUAUGAUUAUGUUGAUGCAUUCAUACCUUAUUACUGUUGAGAUGAUGUGGCAUGGCAUAAUUAAUAUGAGAAAUGUUGAGAUGAUGUGGCAUGGCAUAAUUGUUAUGAAAAUGUUGAGUUAACGACUUGAAGUCUUGAGAAUAUAUAUGUAUAUUUUAUUUUUACAUUUCUGGGAAAAGUAUACAGGUUUUACGGAGAGGGGUUACAACGUUUUGAGAAAUGUUUGGAUUUGGAAAAAGAAUUGUUUUACUGACCCACUCAAUUUUGGUUUUGCGCCCCUCCAGGUUCAGGAAUCACAAAGGUGUGGUGACUACGAGGAAUUCGACGGUGUUCUGACAGAAUGGACCAAAUUAGGACGCACCUUCGGGUGUAUCAACUUAUAAAUUGUAUCUUAAAGCUUUCGUACUGUGCAAAUGGUUACGUCACUCUCACGUGACGGCCAGCAUGCCCUCCUUCGGGACGGGGUGUGUCAGUUGGUAUCAGAGCAUGGUUGCAAUCUUGGACAUUUUGAGAAGUUCUAGUGAAUUCUGUCAGAACUACACCGCCUCGUAGCAAACCACGUAGUUAGAGGAACUUAGUCUCCCCGAUUUAGCGGGUUGGGGGAAACUAUUAUUAUGGUGAUUCGGUAUAUUAUCAAAAUGGACAUUUUAAGAUGGGUAAUGAGUUGAACUUGAAUCACCUUAUGAAAUGAUGAACCUGAGGGAACGAAGUGACGGUUUAACCGUUUGGAAAAGAUGUUUCGGAAUAUGCAAGUUAAAGGAAAUUUCCUUCUGACAGGUGGGUCGAGACGACUACCUGAUUUUGGUUAUGAAUUUGUAUCCUGGUGGAAACAGGAGUAUGAAUUGUUGUCACCAGAGGAAUCAGUCGAUUGAGAAUUGUUUAAGGACUUGUUUAAAGGAAAAGUUUAUCCCUCCGGCAUUUAUCGAUGGUAGUAAACAAGAGUUUACAAAUAUGAGACAAGGAAGGUGAUGAUCGAGGGAUAUUAUAGAAAGUUUUCAGACUUGCCUCGUUGCAUCCAGAUAUUGUUGUUAAUUUGGUGGAGGUGUUAUGUUGUUUUAGCUGGGUGGCAAAAAGGGAAGUGGUAUUUUGGGUGACCACUAUCCAUUGUACUUCUUACCAGGAGUAUACAAGAUGUUGUUGAGCCUUGAGGACUCUGAGAACAUGAGCAACGAGAAUAAAGAAGAAUAAGAAAAGAAUAGGAAUUAAAAGAAGACGAUAAAGUUAAUGAUUCGUCAUAUCAAGGAUAUAGAAAGAUUCAGAGCUUCGAAAGAAGUGAAGCUAGAGUUAAUUUUUCCAGCUGAGGUUUUAAUGUCGCUGGUCAGAAUAAAAGUGAUGGAUAUACUGGUAAUCCCCGAUAUUUGAGACAAGGUGUCUCGAGUAAAGGAAAUGUACCUUGUGCAGCAGGUACAAAAUUAACACUUUGGGAAGUGUGAAAUUAAUGAAUGUGUUUAUGUGAACAGAGGGGACACAGAAUUGUGAAUCGUCCCUAGAAUCAGUUGUACACAACAGUUUUCUAUGACAUCAUAGUGUUGAUUCAGCAGAGUUAUGGAUUUAGUAGUUUGGUCGGAUUGACCGUGAGUACAGAGAGAUUUGAUGAGUUAUAUGUUCAGCCGUACAGACCAUGAGAAGUGGAUUCGAUUGACACAUGAGAAAUUGGUGAGUUAUAGGCUCGGCCGUACCGACCACGCGGAGUGGAUCCGGCCGACGUAUUAUUGAGAUAAGAGUUGAAUCAACCGUAUUGGUCAUUCUAGUUGACUUCGGCUGAUAUAUUUCUUAUUAUGUAUGUUAUUACCUAGAGAGUAGUAAAUAAAUGUAGUUGAGACGAGUGUAUGUAUUUUGCAUUGAGUAACAAAAUAGUAAUGUUAUAUCUUUGAGAGUGGUUGCCUACUUAUCGAGACAACGAUGAUUUAUCAGUAUUGCGGGCUGCAGACCGUAAUAUUAAUAACUCAUUCGUGGAUUCGUUAAGCAAGCAACCCGGUAGAUUAUUUUAUGUUAGUAUUGUACUUAUUUAGAAUGCUUAAUAAUAAUAGAAUAUAUAUUGUAUCAGUUAAUUCUGUUCCAUUAGAUUGGUUGGUUAUAAUUGUGACAAGACGGAAUGUUACGGGAAACCAGUACUUUCCAUCGAUCUGGAUGAACAGAGAUUACUUUUGUAAGUAUGCAAAAUGGAUUGAGUUAGGCUGUUAUUUAUGCUAUGAGAGCAAGGAGAUUGUUUUCGAAAGGCUGUCAAAAAUACUUAGCUCAUGUGGUGCUAAAUGAUGUUGUUUGGAGUAGUGUGAAUAAUGUCGAAAGAGUUAGACUUUUCUUGAUGUCUUCCUUGAAAGUAUACCUAGAUUGCCUUCAGGCAGAGAUAUGAGGUUCAUUAUUGAUUUGUUGCCAGGUAUAAAUUUAUAUUGGAGAUUGGUUCAGGAUGAGUUAAGGGAAUUGGAAAUUCAGUUGAGAGAAUUGGUUGAUAAAAGUUUUAUUCAACCUAGUACAACACUUUUGAGGAGCCCAGUUUGUUGGGUGAGGAAGAAAAAUGGAUCUUGAGACUGUUCAUUGAUUAUAGACAAUGGAGUCGGGUAACGAUUGAGAACCGUUAUCCAUGGUGAUGUACUGAUGUUUAUUUAACCAGCUCAUAAGUAAUUGCGAAGAUUCAAAGAUUGAAUUGAGAUCUGGUUACUACCAAUUAAAUAUUAUAAGUGACAUUGAUCAUAAGAUGGUUUUCUGGACUCGUUAUAGUCUUUAUGAAGUUUGGUGAUGCUAUAUGGAUACUCAUGCUGUUUUAUGAGUUAUUGGAUGAAGUAUUCCAAUAAUGCCUUGAUAAAUAGAUAUCAUUUUCAUUGAAGAUAUUCUGGUAUACUCUAAGCCUAGAGCAGAGCAUGUAAACGUAUUAAGUCGGUGAAGCAAAGAUUAAGAGAACGUUGGUUGUAUGCUAAGUUUAGCAAAUGCGAAUGUUGGAUGAAUCAAGUGGCAUUCUGAGAUUGGUUAUAUCUGCUUAAGGUAUUCAAAUGAAUUCUUAAAAGGCAGCAGAAUUGAGAAAUUGGAACAACCACAAGCCAUAAUUGAGAUUCGGAAAUUCUUAACUUAUCAGGCUAUUUUGGAUGGUUGUGAAAGAAUUUUUAGUCAUUGUUUUGUCAUUGAUGAGACUGUUGAGAAAGGAGGUUAUGUAUGAGUGGGAAGGAAAUUGUGAGCAAAGGAUUCAACAACUGAAGUAUUUCCUCACUCAUGCACGUAUUUUAGUAAUCCCAGAGAAUAAUGGUAAUCAUAAAUUUUUAGUGAUGUUUCUUGAAUGGUAUUGGAUGCAUGUUGAUGCAAAUGUUAGGGUGAUUGCAUACGUUUCACGAUAAAAGGAAUCUCAUAAGAUGAAUUACCCUACUGGUGAUUUGGAAGUCACGAUUACCAUUCUUGCUGUGAAGUUAUGGAGACAUUAUAUUUUAGUGGGAAUGCAAGAUUUUUUUUUUACGAAUCCAAAAAGUCUUCAAUAUCCAUUACUUGGAAGGAAUUUGAUAUGAGGCAGCGAAAGUGAAUUGUAUUGCUUAAUGAACAUGAUUGUACGAUCAGGGUGAUCGUAAAGUUUGUUCUAGCUGAAGCACUUGGUGAGAAGACUACAGUAAGAUUAAUAUCUGGCGCCAAGAGUAUCAUUUUGUGGAUUGAAAACCAACGGAAGAAAAAUUAAGAAUGGAAGAUCGAGAAGAAGUUAUACUUGUUAAGUAACAAGUUAGUACAUUUACCCCAAUGUUGAGUAACAACCUUUCCCAGACAGUGCAACACUACUUAUUUGUUUUAUGGAAAAGAGAAUUGGAUUACGGAACUGCUAAGUUUCUUAAGUAUGUUGGUUGUGCAGUUUCCGAAGUAACGCCAUAAGGACCAUGAAAUGUGUCACGUGAGUCGGUUUUUGAUGACUUGUGAAUGGAAUGUUUCUGGGUAGAGAAAGAUUCGAUCGAGAAAGAGUUUUAGUAGACCCUGAGACUAUGGAUGAGUCUCCUCAAAGUAUUCAGGUGAUUAAGUUAACCUGAAGUAACCAGGAAUGGCAAAAGAGAUCAACAGAUGGAUAUGCCACUAAUCGAGUGUGUAAGGUAAAUGGUUUGAUAUUUUUGGAAAAUUCACCACGAACAGAAAUGAAGAGAAUUGGAAAAGAGACAAGAUAAGAUUUAAACACAUCAGACCGUUUUGAUCAUUAAAAGAAUCAAUGAAGUUGCAUAUAAGUUUGUGAUGCCUUCAAAAUUGGCUAAGGUGCAUAAUGCAUUAUAUUUCGAUGCGUUGUCACUAGGUGGCAGAUUCGUCACAUGGGAUUCUGGUGCAACUAUUUAGAAUUCAAUUGGAUUCGACUUGAUAAGGAACCAAGGACUACUUUGGAUUGGGAAAAGAAGGUCCUGAGAAUUAAGACAGAGUAAGUGGUAAAAGCUUUGUGAAGGAAAUCAUUCAGUAGAAAAUUAUGUGGGAGAAAGAGAAACGGAUGAGAGAGAUUUACCCGAAGCUAUUGUUGGAGUAUGGUUGAUUUAGUUGAUUGCUGGAAUUUCGGGGACGAAAUUCUAUAACGAGGGAAGAUUGUCACAGCCCGUCCUGGAAUUUUAAUUCCGAGGACGUGAAAAGACGAAAAUGCCCUUAAACGGGAUUAAGGUGCGUAAUUUUGGUAUUGGUUUUACCUAAAAUUCCUAAGUUAUUGUUAAUUAAACUUAAACUUGGACUAAUAAUUUUGUGUUUGGACUUUAGGUAGGGUCCUACACCCUAAAUCCCUCCCCAUUUCCCGUUUGUUGUCUCUCUCUCAUCUCCUCAGUCACUCUCUCUCUCUUCCUUAGCUCUUCCUCAGAAACUCUCACUCUCUCUUUUCUUCUCGAACGCACGGGCAACCACCAAAACCACCUAAAACCUAUACCAACGUCCAAGUUAAGACCACAUUUGGACUCCUGGAACUUCCACGAUCACGUAGACAUCAAUUUCAGGUAAGUUCUACUUCGGAAAACCCUAGUUUUCAAAGUACUCGUGAAAUGGUACUGUUCAUGAUCUUUUAAAUGGUUACGAUUUAGGCUAAAACAAGAUCACAGCGAGCUUAGUGAGGUCCCAAGGAAGCUCGGAGUGCUUCGUUGGAAGUUUUUGGACGUAAGAACACGGAGAUCGACAAGUUCAAAGUUUGGCCGGAGCUUUCGAGGAGUUUUCCGGCGAAUCCUCGGCGAGUUAGGAGUCGAGGUAGGUAUCAAUCUCUUCGUCUCGUCAAGUACUACAACUUUCCUUUUUGUUUCACUCAAUUUCGUUGAGUAUUGAAGAAGUUAUACUCAUUUGAAAAAUACCCAGUUUCCGGCGACCUCCGAGGCUUUCGAGGCAGUUUCCGGCCAAACCACGGCGAACUAGGUGUUGUUCAAGGUACCAUUCUCUUUGUCUCUUCAAGGGCUACAACUUUCGUUUUUGAAUUACUUGAUUUCGUUGAGAAAUGACAAAGUUAUGGCAAUUUAAAAAACUGCCCGGAAAACGGCCGCCGGAAAAACCAGUCCGGCGACCCAAGGAAGAAGAAGGUGCUACAGUAAAAAUAAAAAAUAAAAUUAUUUUAAAAAUAUGUCGACGUCCGUGACGUCGAGUAGAUCACUGUGGUAUAUUCAUAUACCUAAAUUGAACACCGUAUGAGAAAGUUUUGAGGAUUGUUGGUUAGGUGUUCAAAUAACGUUUUAUAAUUUUCACAUUUAGGUGAAAAUGUGAAUUGAUGAUCCGACCGUUGGAUCGUCACCAAACUUUGAUACGUUGUAAUACGUAAUAUUUGAGGAUUAUUGGAACUUACGGAUUGGGAAUCCGAGUUACGGAUCUUCCGGAAUUGGAAUUGUAAGUCCAUAAUAUAAAAUGUUAACCGUCA
Molecule: long non-coding RNA, 7623 nt
Filed under: Malus domestica (apple)
Lineage: Eukaryota; Viridiplantae; Streptophyta; Magnoliopsida; Rosales; Rosaceae
Description: long non-coding RNA (MDOM_LNC015987)
Source: RNAcentral